This 1473-nucleotide unclassified non-coding RNA is filed under the name uncultured fungus. RNAcentral describes it as "sequence contains 18S rRNA gene, ITS1, 5.8S rRNA gene, ITS2, 28S rRNA gene". The stretch from base 479 to 1473 matches the Rfam family "Eukaryotic large subunit ribosomal RNA", at positions 1 to 961 of the family's 3401-position model. Lineage: Eukaryota; Fungi. The record is from RNAcentral.
GGAAGGAUCAUUCACACGUUCUGGUCCCAAUAAUGUGUAACUUUGGGUCAGAUCUUAUACCUUCGGGUAUUUUAUCUGCACCCUAUUCUUCACGAGAUUAGGCCUGGCCUCUGAUCGUGCUGGAUAAAAAUCUGAGAUUACUCAGCAAUGAAUAAAAAAAUCUAAUUCUUUUUAGCGAUGGAUGUCUUGGCUCCCACCACGAUGAAGGACGCAGCGAAAUGUGAUGAACAAUGUGAGUUGCAGAAUUCAGUGAAUCAUUAGACUGUUGAACGCAAAUGGCACUCGCGGGUGUACCUGCGAGUAUGUCUGCUUCAGUGUCUCCAAUAUCCUCUUCCUGUCACAUUUCGGUGUGACGUGUCUAGUGUCACUAUAAUUUAAUUAUUAUAGAGUCGCUGCUUGUAUUGGGGUCGCCGUGUUGCUGUAGUGAAGUAACAAUCUGAACUACACAACAUAGCUAAAGCCCUUUGCUUUACCAACACGACCUGAAGUCAGGCAAGAUUACCCGCUGAAUUUAAGCAUAUUAAUAAGUGGUGGAAAAGAAACUAACCAGGAUUCCCUUAGUAAUGGCGAAUGAACAGGGAAAAGCUCAAGAUGAAAAUCAAAGGUUCUUGCCUUUGAAUUGUAGUCUCAAGAGGUGUUACCAGUGAUGGCGCAGGGAUAAGUCUCUUGGAAAAGAGCAUCAGAGAGGGUGAAAAUCCCGUCUUCGCUCUGUAGACCAUCGCGUACGGCACACCUUCAAAGAGUCGCGUUCCUUGGGAGUGGAGCGUUAAUUGGGAGGUAAAUUUCUUCUAAAGCUAAAUACUUGUGGGAGACCGAUAGCGAACAAGUACCGUGAGGGAAAGAUGAAAAGGACUUUGAAAAGAGAGUUAAAAGUGUCUGAAAUCGCUGAAAAGGAAGCGAAUGGAAUCAUUUCUGUUGGGGUACUUGCGUGUUAUGAAAGUGAAACUUCUGCGUAGACCGUAAGGAUGCGUAGGAACUUAAGCUUGAAUGAUGCGUUUCGUACUCUGACGUAAGCAGCAUCAGUUGCUGACGGAUGAAGACUGGGUAGGAAGGUGAACCUCUCGGGGUUGUUAUAGCCUGCCUUUUGAAGUCCGUUGGCGACUGAGGUCUACUGGUGUCGGCUACACUCACGAGUACUGGCACCAUAAGAUGCUGAUGAAGUGGUUCCAUCCGAUCCGUCUUGAAACACGGACCAAGGAGUCUAACAUGCGUGCAAGUGUACUGUCUGCAAAACUGUACGUGUAAUGAAAGUGAUAGUUGGGAAAUUUGCACCAACGACCGACCCCCCUUGUGGGCCAGGUUUGAGUAAAAGCACAUCUGUUAGGACCCGAAAGAUGGUGAACUAUGCCUGAGUAGUGUGAAGCCAGGGGAAACUCUGGUGGAGGCUCGUAGCGAUACUGACGUGCAAAUCGUUCGUCAAACUUGGGUAUAGGGGCGAAAGACUAAUCGAACCAUCUAGUAGCUGGUUCCCUC